Long non-coding RNA from Grus americana (Whooping crane), 4159 nucleotides. RefSeq lists it as uncharacterized. The transcript has 4 exons. The record is from RefSeq and is a predicted model, not a curated record. Lineage: Eukaryota; Metazoa; Chordata; Aves; Gruiformes; Gruidae.
CCUGCUAGUUCUGUUUGAUGUGCCUGAGUUACUGAGCUAGAGGAGACAUUAAGCAAUUUACCUUCUCCAUGCAGUCACGAUUACAUCGCAUUCUGAAUCGUCCCCAGAAGGGUCACUGCAGCUAUCUCCAGACCAUGGGUGAUGAGCUGAACUCACAAUCUUAACAUGGUCAGUGAAAGAAGAAUCCCAUUUGCUCAUCUGAAGCCAGCUUUUUCCAUAGAAUAUGACCAGCUUAUGUGAGACAUCUUAUUACCGUGGUGAUAUAUCACACAGUGAUGCCAAAAUCCAGUCAGCGUGGAGAAGAGUUGAAGGCUCAACCACACUUCAAGCAGCGUGUCCUGCUGCCGUGCCUGGGACUUCCUGCAAAAGGCAGAUCCUAUUUGCCCUUUGAAACUAGUGAACACAGUCAUGGGAGGCAAAGUACCAUCAGCAUCUGUUAAUACGCAAAAAAUAUAAUUGUCUGUUCUCCAAGGAUACGUUGCCAGUAGGUGGUCACAGCAAAACAGGAUAAAAAGAAAUGUAAUGAAACAAUCAUAGACAGCUGUGAGUACAAAGACAUUUGUGGAUCCAGUUACUUCUGCUUCAUCUUUGUUACAUAAAUCUAUUUCCCAAACUUAAUGUAUUGCCCGAGCUUGCAAUAUAUGAUUAACAGAACGUCUGCACCACUCAGAACUUGGGAGAAAAAUGUUCGAUGUUAAUUCUCCAUCAUUUUAGGUAACCUUAAAUAUUUCGGGCAUGAUUGAUCUCACACAGUGCUUUGGAUUUAUGCUUUGCAUGACAGAUGGAAAUCAGAAUAUACACACUGAUGCUGAAAACUUCUGACUCCUGUGCAGAAUCAGAGAAAAAGAGCUACAACACUUCCCUCCUCCUGGAGCUAACCUGGUCUUUCCUAAAAUCAUGCAGCUUCACAGGUCGUGGCCCAGAGAACAGGAGUCUCCCCAGCUCUUCUGCUCGUGCUACGUGUACCGGGCACCGUGACGGGGGGCAGGUUGCAAACAGUAGAAAUGUGAUGCUGUCAGAGGUCUGGGGGAGAUUAUUCUAUCCCCUGUGCAGUUGUUUGAGCCGCCCAAAGAGCAUGAAGCAGAUGCCUAGGUUCUUACUUAAGGCUUCCUGGGAAAAUCAACACUGUUUCAAAACUGUAUCAGAACCAAAACUAUGGAAAGAUUAAUCAAGCUUGGGUCAGGAGGGAAGGAGGAUGCAAUAGCUUUUGACAGCAGUGAACUGGUAAAUGAUGUACCCAAUGUUGAGCUCUCUUACGAGUCAGAAUAUUCAGUGCAUCACAUCAAAAACUUCUUUAGACUAUUGCCAUAAUAUUAGACAGAACAUGGAAAAAGAUGGUAAACAGAGCCAUCAAAGGUACAUUUUAAAUUUACUACUUGCAUUCUUACACUAAUCUGACAAUCAUAAAGCCUUACUAUAAAUCAAAUGGAGCAAAUGCCAUCAGUAAAUUAGAACAUAUAUAGUAAUCCAUGUAAAAAAGUUAAAAAACCUUUUGGCAGAGAAGACAGCUGCGAUUCAGAGUUCCUUCCAGUGUUAAGCACAAGCAGCAGAAACUGCUUUAAGCAUUUUUUAAAAUCACAUUCUAGUUGCUAGCCUUUGGAUUUUACGGUUUGUCUUUCUGAAGCAAUGAUAAAACCAUCAUAGCUUUAAUCAACUUUUUGAAACAUUGUCCAGUCUGAAAAACUGAGAGUGAAAUAAAAAGUAAGACAAAACAAAAAUCGGAAAUACUGUACAUUUUUGCCAUUUCUGUCAGCCCCAGCUAGGAAAUGUUGUUAUAAAGCAAGAUAAAAAAUAGAGGAAGGAGAUAAAUAGUAACUGCACUCUUAUUUUAGGCUAUGUUAUAUCUGACUGUUUCAAAAGUAGGAGGAAUAUGAGACUGGGUAUGUAUCUCCACCCCCUCCAAGAAUUGCCAGGAACAUUGUUUAUGAGUGUGAUCCAAACAUGAGAACAGUUUCCUUACCUAUGGUAUGUGGCAAUCGUGGAAAUAUCAUGUUUUAAUUGACACCGCGUUCCCAUCAUCACAACGUACACUGAAAAGUCAUCAUCUUGGGACAUACAGGACUGGAAAAUUAGGGUGGCAGAUAAUUAUCCCACGGGCUGCAAACAUUUCCCUCAAUGGAAUCCCAGCCACCGGGGGUCAGCAGCUAAGAAACGAGCCCAUGCACAGGGCGCAACUCCACCAUGAUGGGCACACUACCUACCAGAGCUACGUGUGGUUGCUGAGAGCACGAGGGCCUGUACUGACCCCCCUAAGCUGGUGGCAGGGUUUGGGGAGGAAGGCCAGGGGGUUCUACCGCCUCUACGUGUACUCUCUUUGGCUGCCUUCAAAGAGAAUGAUGCUUUAACUCAGCGCACUCACUGAUUGGUAUAUUCUACUGCUGUAACUCAGAUUUCCCCCAAAAAAUCUUAAGGUAAGCUCUGAAGAACUGGGAGGAGGGAGAAGAAGCUUUCACUGAACGAAGCAAGUUUUCCAGAAUACAACCUCAUCCUUUUUGACCACCUAUUACAGUCAAUCUGACUGGCUAGUGCCAUGCUUCAAGUUUACUCAGGUUUUUUCCCUGUCUUCAUUGCUUUUAAAUUAACUGGCAGCUAAAAGUUUCAUCUAAAGCUAUUUUGUGUGCUUUUUCUGCCUUACAAAAAUGCCCAUCCAAGAGUUAUUUACUCAGCACCAAGCUUUAGGAAGUCACCUUGAUAUGGGAGGAAAAAUAUCUGUUAUAACAGAAGUGCUUUGUUUUAAUAUGUUAGUGAAGGCAAAGAAAUGCCAGACAGAGCUGUGGAUGUGACUGUUUAUCAUCCUUUGAGAAAAUAUAUGUUCUAAAUCAGCUCAGUGGUACUUGUGUCACUGAGUUUCUAAUAUUGUUGAAAACUGACACCAACACCAUGAUCUGAAGAAUUUAAAACUUUGACCCAAGAAUAAUGUCCCCCUUUACAAGAAAGACCUCCAGAAUUCUGACCUCAUCUUGAGCUAGAGAGCUAAUUUUCCAAGCUGCUGCCUGUAUUGGGCUUCAAACCAAAACUGAAUGAAUGCAAAGGAGGAAGCCUAAUGUACAGCAGUUUAAAUAUAUGGAGGCUUUGGGGGUUUUGGAACAUCAAACCCUUCAGAGUACAAAAUAUUUGCAAUUUGGUAUUGCAAGCAUUUCCCUUCCCACUGGGAGGUAAUUAUCAUAAAGGAAUACAUUGCUCUCAGACAAUAUCUCAGGCUGGCCAUGUUCUUGUUACUUAAACUUAUUCUUAUAACCAGAAGAAAAGUAGCGUCACCUGUGGUGAGGGCUGUCUUUGUGAGACUGCUCUCUCAUAUCAUACUCCUAUUUAAGGGAACCAAUUCAGCGGUUGAGAAUAAGCCUAAGGAUUUCAGUGGUAUUUUGUAUUUUUAAUCACAGCCUUUUCAAGGUAAUCCAUAUUUCAGAAGUUGCCCGUAAGCGUCAUCUUCAUUUGUAACCUCUUGCCAUAUUUAUUCCAUAGAACUUUGCAUAGAGCCUAUGACCACAGAGGCUUCCUGACUGCAGCUCCUCCCAGCUCAGCUGCCAGCAACACAUCCCAGCCAUUUGUUUAGCGUGCAAAAACCCACACUGAUUCUCUGGGUUGAGUAACAAUGUUCUUAUUACACCCACCUAAUGCCCUUAACAUUGGGUAACAGGAAACCAGGGGAUGAAAUGAGCUAUUACUUCUGGUUUCUAUGGUCCUGAAUCUGUAAGCUCUGGUUCUCGGGGGGCAUCUGCUCUUUGACAAUACUUCCCAUAUUGCGUUUCAGCCAGGAAGAUGGAUGUACCUUCGUUAAAGUGAGUCAUUCACUGAACCUAGGCCAAACUUUGAAGCAAAUCUGGGCCAGUUUACUGCCCCAGGAGGAAACCUGGGUUUUGCAUGAAUUAGAUGUGAAAAUAAGCAGAGCCUGACUGACAUCUUCUCUGAAUUCCAACCGUAAGGGUAAAACCCAGUGGGCACGAGCUUCAGGCAUGACAAAAAUGAGCAGGGGAAAAUGAGGCUUCCCAUCUCCCCUCCAAGAGCCAGAGACACACAUUACUCAGAACUUAGGGUAAAUUGUUAAUUAUUUAUACACUAAUUAAGUAGUGUUUAUAGAAUGUCUUACAUAUGUAAAUUGCUGUAAAUAUGCUUACAUUUUUCCUGCAGUCUCCAAUUAAACGAACUUUCAUUUUAGAGC